Molecule: ribosomal RNA, 578 nt
Filed under: uncultured fungus
Lineage: Eukaryota; Fungi
Description: eukaryotic LSU rRNA
Source: RNAcentral
UCCGUAGGUGAACCUGCGGAGGGAUCAUUACAUGUCCGUCGUGAUAUGCUCGUAGUAGUCGCUGCCACUUGUUGCCUCGGCGGAUCAGCCCGCUCCCGGUAAAACGGGACGGCCCGCCAGAUGCUCGCUGAUAGUCGCUUCUAUAUUGAGUCGUCGUUUAAAACCAUAAAUGCUCGUAAACUUGAUGAGUCGCUGAUGUUGGUUCUGGCAUCGAUAUGCUGCUGAUAGUCGGCUGAUGAGGGGCUGCCUGAUGUGAAUUGCAGAAUUCAGUGAAUCAUCGAAUCUUUGAACGCACAUAGGUCCGUGUGAACUUCUGGCGGGCAUAUGCUCGUGAUAGUCGCUGAAACCCUCAAGCACAGCUUGGUGAUGCUCGUGAUAGCUGUUCGCGUUCCUCAAAUUGAUUGGAUGCUCGCUGGAGCUUCCAUAAUGCUCGUGUAAAACCCUCGUUACUGGUAAUCGUCGCGGCAUGCUCGUGAUAGCCCAACUUCUGGAUGUUGACCUCGGAUCAUGCUCGCUGAUGCGCUGAACUUAAGCAUAUCAUGCUCGUAAGGAUAGGUCGCUCGUAGAUGAUGAUAGAU